Molecule: long non-coding RNA, 218 nt
Organism: Nannospalax galili (Upper Galilee mountains blind mole rat)
Lineage: Eukaryota; Metazoa; Chordata; Mammalia; Rodentia; Spalacidae
Exons: 4
Source: RefSeq, a predicted model, not a curated record
GACAAGUCCGAAGAAGAGGGUGGCCAAUCUAGUCGCGUGUCCACUGUGGAUGAGGAUUGUUACAUUCUUGAUGUGGAUUCAAGCGUCAGUGGAGAGUCCGGGUCCUAUAAAAACCCAAAGCCAGAAAAGAAGAGAAAAUCCAGCUAUCUGGUAAUUGACUCAUCUGAUGACUCUGGCAAUGAGGAAAAGAGAUCUAAGAUAUGGGAAAUAAGCAGCGA